Podarcis lilfordi (Lilford's wall lizard) is the source of this 79-nucleotide non-coding RNA. Lineage: Eukaryota; Metazoa; Chordata; Lepidosauria; Squamata; Lacertidae. The record is from the annotation of a GenBank genome assembly.
GGACCAUAUUUCAGUGGUCAAGAAUGUAAGCAUUUGCUUUGUAUGUGGAAGGUCUCAGGUUCAAUCCCUGGCAUCACCA